GGAAGUGUGGCUGAGUCCGGUUUAAGGCGCAUCACUGCUAAUGAUGUGAGUGAAUUAAGUAGCUCCGCAGGUUCGAAUCCUGUCACUUCCG
RNAcentral lists this transfer RNA (91 nucleotides) under Streptomyces sp. JV178. RNAcentral describes it as "tRNA-Ser". It matches the Rfam family "tRNA". From Rfam's summary of the family: Transfer RNA (tRNA) molecules are approximately 80 nucleotides in length. Their secondary structure includes four short double-helical elements and three loops (D, anti-codon, and T loops). Further hydrogen bonds mediate the characteristic L-shaped molecular structure. tRNAs have two regions of fundamental functional importance: the anti-codon, which is responsible for specific mRNA codon recognition, and the 3' end, to which the tRNAs corresponding amino acid is attached (by aminoacyl-tRNA synthetases). tRNAs cope with the degeneracy of the genetic code in two manners: having more than one tRNA (with a specific anti-codon) for a particular amino acid; and 'wobble' base-pairing, i.e. permitting non-standard base-pairing at the 3rd anti-codon position. Lineage: Bacteria; Bacillati; Actinomycetota; Actinomycetes; Kitasatosporales; Streptomycetaceae. The record is from RNAcentral. RNAcentral also lists the same sequence under 1 other name.